GUGGUGGAAAUUUGUUUGAUGCCAUUUCCAUUGCUGUAAAGGCUGCUCUCUUCAAUACAAGAUGUUGUGAACACGAAGAUGUUUGAGGAGCUCAAGAGCCGUCUGGACACCCUGGCCCAGGAGGUGGCCCUGCUGAAAGAGCAGCAGGCCCUGCAGACGGUCUGCCUGAAGGGGACCAAGGUGCACAUGAAAUGCUUUCUGGCCUUCACCCAGACGAAGACCUUCCACGAGGCCAGCGAGGACUGCAUCUCGCGCGGGGGCACACUGGGCACCCCUCAGACUGGCUCGGAGAACGACGCCCUGUAUGAGUACCUGCGCCAGAGCGUGGGCAACGAGGCCGAGAUCUGGCUGGGCCUCAACGACAUGGCGGCCGAGGGCACCUGGGUGGACAUGACCGGCGCCCGCAUCGCCUACAAGAACUGGGAGACUGAGAUCACCGCGCAACCCGAUGGCGGCAAGACCGAGAACUGCGCGGUCCUGUCAGGCGCGGCCAACGGCAAGUGGUUCGACAAGCGCUGCCGCGAUCAGCUGCCCUACAUCUGCCAGUUCGGGAUCGUGUAGCCGGCGGGGCGGGGGCCGUGGGGGGCCUGGAGGAGGGCAGGGGCCGCGGGAGGCCGGGAGGAGGGUGGGGACCUUGCAGCCCCCAUCCCCUCCGUGCGCUUGGAGCCUCUUUUUGCAAAUAAAGUCGGUGCAGCUUCGCGGAGAGGA
Molecule: small RNA, 708 nt
Filed under: Pan troglodytes (chimpanzee)
Lineage: Eukaryota; Metazoa; Chordata; Mammalia; Primates; Hominidae
Description: processed transcript
Source: RNAcentral